This 638-nucleotide ribosomal RNA is filed under the name uncultured Basidiomycota. Its description in RNAcentral is "LSU rRNA". It matches the Rfam family "Eukaryotic large subunit ribosomal RNA", at positions 17 to 635 of the family's 3401-position model. The record is from RNAcentral. Lineage: Eukaryota; Fungi; Basidiomycota.
AGGACUACCCGCUGAACUUAAGCAUAUCAAUAAGCGGAGGAAAAGAAACUAACAAGGAUUCCCCUAGUAACUGCGAGUGAAGCGGGAAGAGCUCAAAUUUAAAAUCUGGCGGCCUCCUGGCYGUCCGAGUUGUAAGCUAGAGUAGCGCAGUCCGCGCUGGGCCAUGUACAAGUCUCCUGGAACGGAGCGUCAUAGAGGGUGAGAAUCCCGUCUCUGACAUGGACUCCCAGGGCAUAGCGAUUGCGUUCUCAAAGAGUCGAGUUGUUUGGGAAUGCAGCUCCAAAUGGGUGGUAAACUCCAUCUAAAGCUAAACAUAGGCGAGAGACCGAUAGCGAACAAGUACCGUGAGGGAAAGAUGAAAAGAACUUUGGAAAGAGAGUUAAACAGUACGUGAAAUUGUUGAAAGGGAAACGCUUGAAGUCAGUCACGUCGGCUUGGGAUCAGCCUUGCAACUGCGAGGUGCACUCCCUGGUCGACGGGUCAGCACCAGUUUCGACCGCUGGAGAAAGGUCGGGGGAAUGUGGCAUCCUCGGAUGUGUUAUAGCCCUCGAUUGCAWGCAUCGGUUGGGAUUGAGGAACUCAGCGCGCCGCAAGGCCGGGUUUUCGAACCACGUCCGCGCUCAGGAUGCUGGCACAAU